Molecule: long non-coding RNA, 4605 nt
Filed under: Nicotiana tabacum (common tobacco)
Lineage: Eukaryota; Viridiplantae; Streptophyta; Magnoliopsida; Solanales; Solanaceae
Description: long non-coding RNA (NTAB_LNC003951)
Source: RNAcentral
AUUAGUAGCUGUUUUCCGUCUUCACAACUUAUUAGAGCCUUCUCAUGUUUAUGCAGUCAAUUUGGACCAGUACAAGAUGUUAGGAUUCCUUGUCAGCAGAAGAGAAUGUUUGGGUUUGUAACUUUUGUUUUCCCAGAGACAGUUAAGCAGAUCCUGGCAAAGGGGAAUCCUCAUUUAGUUUGUGGUGCACGUGUUUUGGUGAAACCUUACAGGGAAAAGUCCAAGCUUGUAGAUAGGUAUAUUUCCUGGUUUCUUUUAUUAUGAAGGCUUCUAAUAGUUUAUUUGCAUAUUUGUUAAUUAUAGAUCAAAGAUCCUCAUUUUCAAUGUACCCUACUUAACAUUGUGUGUGGAAUGUUGGGAUGCAAUGAUGUUGCGUUGCUAAUGCCUUUUGUGUUUGUAGUUUAAUGUAUUGAUAUUAGCAGUGAUGGCUCUUUGAAUACUCUCAUUGAUAUGUGAACCUGUAUUUUCAGAUCUGUGGUUGGUUAAAUGGAAUCUCAUUUGUUUCCCUAUCUAACAAUAUUAUCUUCUAUUGAAGAUUACUUCUUCGGGGUAGGGGUAAGGUCUGCGUACACACUACCCUCCCCAGACCCCAUUAGUGGGAUUUUACUGGGUUGUUGUUGUUGUUGAAGAUUAUGAUCAUAAUAAUCUGUCAGACAACUGAGAUACUUGAGGAGCAUUGGCUUAAUUCUUGUCCAAUCUAUUUUAUUUGUUUAUUUUAACUCACCUAGCAUAUUGUUCAGCAAACAUCUUUCAUACAAAUCAAAUUAAUGUUUACACAUUUCCCUCAACUGUUGAUGUCGUGAUUGAGUGAUGCUUCAAAAUAUAUUGUCUUGUGAAAACUUUUCAUUGGAUUGCGUAUAACUUUUUGUAUAGAUUUGCAUUUGAUAUGAUCUUUAUCUUAUCUCUGCAGAAAAUGCCUCGAGAAAGCUUAUCAAGCUUCCUACUAUAAUUCCUCGUUCAUUGACGCAGAAUCCGAACUCCAAUCUUGUAAGAUGCACUUCAACUCAAACAAUCAAAACCUACCUUAUAUUUUGUCAUAGAAGUAAUAAUUUUUAUCGUUUUUUUAGCACCUAGAGUCUGUGAAAAUUCAAGACUAAUGAAAAAACAACUCAUGGAGGAACAAGAGCGUGCAAUUGAGUUUGAGAGGCAGCAUUUUCCAGAGUUGCAAUUAGCUGCAAAAACUUUGCAUCAUCAAAUGCGCCUUGGUUACUCAGUAGAGGAUUUGAAGCUUAGAGAAGGUUCUUUAACAUGUAAUUCUGAAGCAUAUCCUCCCCUAAGAUCCUCGACUAUCCAUCUUUACCUGACAUUGUUCUUUUCUUUGCUUUUCGUGCUUCCUCCUGUAUAGGCCGUAGCGAAAAACUGGAGUUCCCAUCAGCCGAGAGUUUUAAUUACCUGCUAGAUGUAUAUAACAAUGGUUCCACCAGCGAGGACAAAGCUAGGCACGUUAAAAUGAGUCACUGUGACCAAGAAGGGUAAGACAUUUUGAUACUGUCGUUUUGAGUUUUAUGCUCUUUGUAUCAUUUUCUUGAGCCGAGGGUCUAUAGGAAGCAGCCUCUCUACCUUCCCAAGGAAGGGGUAAGGUCUGCGUACAGCCAUACACACUACUCUCCCCAGACCCCACUUGUGGAAUUUCACUAGGUUGUUGUUGUCGUAUGCUCUUUGUGACCAGGAGGUCACUAGUUCGAGCUGUGGAUAUAGCCUCUUGCAGAAUUGCAGGGUAAGGCUGCGUACAAUAGACCCUUGUGGUCCAGCCUUCCCCGUAUUCCACGCAUAGCGGGAGCUUAGUGCAUCGGGCUGCGCUUUAUUGUUGUCGUAUGCGCUUUGUAUCAUUUUGAGUUUGUUGUCGAUAUUUGUUCUUAUUUAAUCAGUUCUUCGGGAUGUUGCAGUGGUCAAGGAUUGAAUCUUCCAGAUAGCCCGUUUGCAUCUCCAAUAAGGAAUGGCAUUUCAACUGUCAUUUAGGUUCAGAAACACAGAAGGAUUAUAGAGUUUAAAGAGGACUGAGUUUUGGAAAGCAGUUCGUUGGUUCGACACAUAAAAGUACUUUUCUUCCUAAAUAUUUCCAUAAAACAGUUACUAUUAAAUAGUUGCUCAACUGCCUGCAAAUACACCUGAUCCUACAGAAAGCGCGAGAAGUUAUUCGUUUUCAUUUUUUAGGUGAACAUCAUAAGAGAAUUACAUAGAAAAAGAAUCGCGACAUGUAACAAGUUUCAUAGGUUUUCAGCUUUGAUAAGAAGUUAAUGAUAGGGAGCAAGUUUGAUGCUUGCUUUGCAGGUUUUAGAAGUUAAAAUGUAAUUAUGGUUUUUUUUCUAAGUGUGAUGGAGAAGAAAAUAGGCUCAGAUUCAGAGUUUGGUGUCCAUUGUAGAGCUCUCUGCUACUUGACAGAAAUGCUAAAUGUUGCUAACAAUAAAGUUAUACAUAGUUUUCAUUUCUAGUCUCUGUUUACUUUCUGAACACAAAUUUGUCAUUUAUAUUUUGGCGUAACCGGUAAAGUUGACUCCAUGUGACCAGAAGGUCAUGAGUUUGAGCCGUGGAAAUAACCUCUUGUAGAAAUGUAGGGUAAGACUGCGUACAAUAGACCCCUGUAGUCAAGCCCUUCCCCAGACCCCGCACAUAGCGGGAGCUUAGUACAUCGGUGAUAUCCGAAUCAGCUUGCAUGCAUAGGUGGUAUUCGAAUCAGCUUGCGUGCACCUCGGGUAAUCCUCUUUGUUUGCUAAAAAUGUAAAUAUAAAGUAGUUGAAUAUGGAUCAUAUAUGUGGUCCUCUACUGCUUGUUCUCUUAGUUGUACAAAAGGGUCCCCAAUAGUAAAGAAAAUGUAUAUUAGACCCUUGAUAUGCGGAACUGAUGCAAGUUGUAUUUUUUUAAAAUUAUAUUUAAUGCCAAAACUAAGUAAAUUGACCAUCUUAGAAAGUUAUUAUUUUGUCGCUUUCAUCCACGUUGAUCUACUUUAUUAUUUAUUGCUUUCACCAUUAUACAACUGAAAAAUAUUGUUUUUUUUUUUUUUGCAAUUUGUGAGAUUGACUUUGAUAAAGUAGUGGUGCUGAAGUGCGACAAUUAUUUAGAUUUGUGGACAUUAUGUGAAUUUUAAUUUUAGAUUUGUAGGACCGACGUAUCUACUAUCUGUUUUUUAAUCUUUUAUACGACACAGAUGUUACAUGUCUAUGGCCAUAAAUGUUUUUGUUCAUACAUUUCUUAGCCACAAACACACUUCAUACUUCAAAAGUAGUUUGAUUCUCUUCGCAUCCACUAGUUUUAUUGAUUUAUAUUUUUUUAAAAUCAAAACUAAGCUCCAUUUGGUAGUUUGUGAGAUAUUUCUUCACUAAAAUAGAAUAGUUUGGAAAUUCAUAGAAUUAUCUAUAAAAUAAUGUAGCAGGAAAUUAAUUUAGGACAAAAGAUAAUAAACAACUUUUGCCAAUUUGGGAUUAAAAAUUAGGAUCUUUUCAUACAUAUGCUAAAUUAUAAAGUUAUUUACCUGAAAUGUGUAAAGUUUGCUAUUUAUCAAAGUAGACUGACUAUAUAUAUAAAUAUAUUUUUUUCACUCUGUUCAUCUGUUCUUUCCAACCUUUUAAAGAUAUAAAUUUUUUCUUAACACAACUUUUUUUUAAACCUCACCAUGGCCGUAGUUAAAUAUAUUUGCCCACUUUAACACCUUUCUGAUAAUAUUUUGGGCUUAUUUUAACUGGUCUCUCCUAGAAAUUUAUAGGUUAAUCCAUCAGAGUUAUUAAGAAGUUGGAAAGAUAACCAUAUACUUAGAGUGAUUUUUUUAGUUAUUUACAAACUAGCAACUAAGAAAUUAAAGAUAUAAGACAUAAUAUAAAAGCUUUAAAUAAAUCGGGGUAAUAAACAGAAAUAUAAUUUAUAAAAACAGUAACUUACAUGUUUACAGGAGAGGGAUUUCCCUUUCGGUAAACUCGAAAGAGUUUACUGGACUUAAAAACUUGCACACUAAAGCAUAAAUCUUUAUUUAUUUUACAUGUUUGAGAUAGAAAAUACUAAAGCAUAUAUAGUGAAAUAUUUUAAAAAGAGAGGUGUGGAGGAUGGUUUUUCUGGUGUAGGUGAAGGGAAUGGUGAAGAGAGUAUGUUUUUCUUCAGAUGGUUGUUGUAGUUGUGUUUUCUGUCUUCAUAGAACACUCAAUUUAUAGGUGUUGAGGACUUCACUUCCGGACUUCAUUUUGUUUGAAGAAUCUUUCCUUUUUCUUGUUCACGUGAAAUUUUCAGAGUCUGUCUUGCAUUAUUGUCCUUGAUUUAUUGUAGAAGAUGGAUCUUUAUUGCAUUAUUGUACCUUUGCAAGAGUCUUUCUUUUGAUUCCUCACUAUCUUUGUCUUUUUCUUUGUUUUAUUCUUGCUAUUAUGAUGAUGAUAUACUUCUACGUGUCAAGAUUAUAUAAAGCUAUUGAAUCAAAACUCAUUCUUGAAUCAUCAUUUGGGUCUUGAGCAUCUUGAUAAUUUAUUCCUAAGUCAUCAUUUGAGUCUUGAGAAUCUUGAUAAUUUAUUCCUAAGUCAUCAUUUGGGUCUUGAGUAUCUUGAUAAUUUAGAUUAUUAUCUUCUCCCGAUGUAACGACCCGACCAGUCAUUUUGAGUAUUAUAACCCCGUUCCCCCAUUUACUGC